GACGAACGCUGGCGGCGUGCUUAACACAUGCAAGUCGAACGAAGAGCGAUGGAAGCUUGCUUCUAUCAAUCUUAGUGGCGAACGGGUGUGUAACGCGUAAUCAACCUGCCCUUCAGAGGGGGACAACAGUUGGAAACGACUGCUAAUACCUCAUACGUUCUAAUCUCGGCAUCGAGGAUAGAUGAAAGGUGGCCUCAACAUGUAAGCCAUCACCGAAGGAGGGGAUUGCGUCUGAUUAGCUCGUGGGAGGGGUAACGGCCCACCAAGGCGAUGACAAGUAGCCGGUCUGAGGGGAUGCACGGCCACGCUAGGACUGCGACACGGCUCAUAUACCUUCAGGAGGCAGCAGUUGUGAAUCUGCCGCAAUGGACGGAAGUCAUACGGAGCAACGCCGCGUCGGCGGUGACUGCCUUCCGGUUGGAAAGCACUGUUAGUCUGGGCGAAAGGCCCCCUUGCGAAUAGUGUGAUGGAUUGACGGUACCAAAAAAGAAAGCCACGGCUAACUACGUG
This 510-nucleotide ribosomal RNA is filed under the name uncultured bacterium. RNAcentral describes it as "partial 16S ribosomal RNA". It matches the Rfam family "Bacterial small subunit ribosomal RNA", at positions 28 to 507 of the family's 1533-position model. The record is from RNAcentral.